This 2903-nucleotide ribosomal RNA is filed under the name Salmonella enterica. Its description in RNAcentral is "bacterial LSU rRNA". It matches the Rfam family "Bacterial large subunit ribosomal RNA". The record is from RNAcentral. Lineage: Bacteria; Pseudomonadati; Pseudomonadota; Gammaproteobacteria; Enterobacterales; Enterobacteriaceae.
UUAAGCGACUAAGCGUACACGGUGGAUGCCCUGGCAGUCAGAGGCGAUGAAGGGCGUGCUAAUCUGCGAUAAGCGCCGGUAAGGUGAUAUGAACCGUUAUAACCGGCGAUACCCGAAUGGGGAAACCCAGUGUGACUCGUCACACUAUCAUUAACUGAAUCCAUAGGUUAAUGAGGCGAACCGGGGGAACUGAAACAUCUAAGUACCCCGAGGAAAAGAAAUCAACCGAGAUUCCCCCAGUAGCGGCGAGCGAACGGGGAGGAGCCCAGAGCCUGAAUCAGCAUGUGUGUUAGUGGAAGCGUCUGGAAAGGCGCGCGAUACAGGGUGACAGCCCCGUACACAAAAGCGCAUGUGCUGUGAGCUCGAUGAGUAGGGCGGGACACGUGGUAUCCUGUCUGAAUAUGGGGGGACCAUCCUCCAAGGCUAAAUACUCCUGACUGACCGAUAGUGAACCAGUACCGUGAGGGAAAGGCGAAAAGAACCCCGGCGAGGGGAGUGAAAAAGAACCUGAAACCGUGUACGUACAAGCAGUGGGAGCACAGGUUUACCUGUGUGACUGCGUACCUUUUGUAUAAUGGGUCAGCGACUUAUAUUCUGUAGCAAGGUUAACCGAAUAGGGGAGCCGCAGGGAAACCGAGUCUUAACCGGGCGUUAAGUUGCAGGGUAUAGACCCGAAACCCGGUGAUCUAGCCAUGGGCAGGUUGAAGGUUGGGUAACACUAACUGGAGGACCGAACCGACUAAUGUUGAAAAAUUAGCGGAUGACCUGUGGCUGGGGGUGAAAGGCCAAUCAAACCGGGAGAUAGCUGGUUCUCCCCGAAAGCUAUUUAGGUAGCGCCUCGUGAAUUCAUCUCCGGGGGUAGAGCACUGUUUCGGCUAGGGGGCCAUCCCGGCUUACCAACCCGAUGCAAACUGCGAAUACCGGAGAAUGUUAUCACGGGAGACACACGGCGGGUGCUAACGUCCGUCGUGAAGAGGGAAACAACCCAGACCGCCAGCUAAGGUCCCAAAGUCAUGGUUAAGUGGGAAACGAUGUGGGAAGGCCCAGACAGCCAGGAUGUUGGCUUAGAAGCAGCCAUCAUUUAAAGAAAGCGUAAUAGCUCACUGGUCGAGUCGGCCUGCGCGGAAGAUGUAACGGGGCUAAACCAUGCACCGAAGCUGCGGCAGCGACACUGUGUGUUGUUGGGUAGGGGAGCGUUCUGUAAGCCUGUGAAGGUGGCCUGUGAGGGUUGCUGGAGGUAUCAGAAGUGCGAAUGCUGACAUAAGUAACGAUAAAGCGGGUGAAAAGCCCGCUCGCCGGAAGACCAAGGGUUCCUGUCCAACGUUAAUCGGGGCAGGGUGAGUCGACCCCUAAGGCGAGGCCGAAAGGCGUAGUCGAUGGGAAACGGGUUAAUAUUCCCGUACUUGGUGUUACUGCGAAGGGGGGACGGAGAAGGCUAUGUUGGCCGGGCGACGGUUGUCCCGGUUUAAGCGUGUAGGCUGGUUUUCCAGGCAAAUCCGGAAAAUCAAGGCUGAGGCGUGAUGACGAGGCACUACGGUGCUGAAGCAACAAAUGCCCUGCUUCCAGGAAAAGCCUCUAAGCAUCAGGUAACAUCAAAUCGUACCCCAAACCGACACAGGUGGUCAGGUAGAGAAUACCAAGGCGCUUGAGAGAACUCGGGUGAAGGAACUAGGCAAAAUGGUGCCGUAACUUCGGGAGAAGGCACGCUGACAUGUAGGUGAAGUGAUUUACUCACGGAGCUGAAGUCAGUCGAAGAUACCAGCUGGCUGCAACUGUUUAUUAAAAACACAGCACUGUGCAAACACGAAAGUGGACGUAUACGGUGUGACGCCUGCCCGGUGCCGGAAGGUUAAUUGAUGGGGUCAGCGCAAGCGAAGCUCCUGAUCGAAGCCCCGGUAAACGGCGGCCGUAACUAUAACGGUCCUAAGGUAGCGAAAUUCCUUGUCGGGUAAGUUCCGACCUGCACGAAUGGCGUAAUGAUGGCCAGGCUGUCUCCACCCGAGACUCAGUGAAAUUGAACUCGCUGUGAAGAUGCAGUGUACCCGCGGCAAGACGGAAAGACCCCGUGAACCUUUACUAUAGCUUGACACUGAACAUUGAGCCUUGAUGUGUAGGAUAGGUGGGAGGCUUUGAAGUGUGGACGCCAGUCUGCAUGGAGCCGACCUUGAAAUACCACCCUUUAAUGUUUGAUGUUCUAACGUGGACCCGUUACCCGGGUUGCGGACAGUGUCUGGUGGGUAGUUUGACUGGGGCGGUCUCCUCCUAAAGAGUAACGGAGGAGCACGAAGGUUGGCUAAUCCUGGUCGGACAUCAGGAGGUUAGUGCAAUGGCAUAAGCCAGCUUGACUGCGAGCGUGACGGCGCGAGCAGGUGCGAAAGCAGGUCAUAGUGAUCCGGUGGUUCUGAAUGGAAGGGCCAUCGCUCAACGGAUAAAAGGUACUCCGGGGAUAACAGGCUGAUACCGCCCAAGAGUUCAUAUCGACGGCGGUGUUUGGCACCUCGAUGUCGGCUCAUCACAUCCUGGGGCUGAAGUAGGUCCCAAGGGUAUGGCUGUUCGCCAUUUAAAGUGGUACGCGAGCUGGGUUUAGAACGUCGUGAGACAGUUCGGUCCCUAUCUGCCGUGGGCGCUGGAGAACUGAGGGGGGCUGCUCCUAGUACGAGAGGACCGGAGUGGACGCAUCACUGGUGUUCGGGUUGUCAUGCCAAUGGCACUGCCCGGUAGCUAAAUGCGGAAGAGAUAAGUGCUGAAAGCAUCUAAGCACGAAACUUGCCCCGAGAUGAGUUCUCCCUGAGACUUAGAGUCUCCUGAAGGAACGUUGAAGACGACGACGUUGAUAGGCCGGGUGUGUAAGCGCAGCGAUGCGUUGAGCUAACCGGUACUAAUGAACCGUGAGGCUUAACCUU